This 229-nucleotide ribosomal RNA is filed under the name uncultured bacterium. RNAcentral's name for it is "partial 16S ribosomal RNA". It matches the Rfam family "Bacterial small subunit ribosomal RNA", at positions 568 to 796 of the family's 1533-position model. The record is from RNAcentral.
UCCGUAGGUGGAUAAUUAAGUCAGAGGUGAAAUCCUGCAGCUCAACUGUAGAAUUGCCUUUGAUACUGGUUAUCUUGAGUCAUUAUGAAGUGGUUAGAAUGUGUAGUGUAGCGGUGAAAUGCAUAGAUAUUACACAGAAUACCGAUUGCGAAGGCAGAUCACUAAUAAUGUACUGACACUGAGGGACGAAAGCGUGGGGAACGAACAGGAUUAGAUACCCUGGUAGUCC